AGAGGCCAAAUGAAAUGAUGCACUUCAGGGCACUUCAAAAUAAAAAUAAAAAUAGCAAAUAUAAUUUAGGCAUAGAACAUUCCUGAACUAAUUUAAUUGCAUAUUUCUUUAAAGCAGACAACCACCUGGAAGGAGUCGUAACAGCAAGAGCAAAUCGAUUUUGGCUAUACGCAUGUCCUGCUUUACCGGCCUACAGAUUACAUGUGUAAUGUAUAAUCAAUCACACUAUGUGGAGUGUGCAUAUAUCCCUCCAUCUUUUAUUAACCCUUAUUUCUCUCCUGAAGACAUUUUCAUAUAUCUCAACAUGCGUCAUCAAGUCAAAAGAGAAAGGAUGAAUGUACUAAACGAAUUUUAUUACAUGUACUGCUAAAAAUAAUCACCAAAUCAUAAAUGGUAAAAAGAAAAAAGAAGAAGAAAACUAAACAGAC
Long non-coding RNA from Neofelis nebulosa (Clouded leopard), 428 nucleotides. RefSeq lists it as uncharacterized. The transcript is spliced from 3 exons. The record is from RefSeq and is a predicted model, not a curated record. NCBI's taxonomy places the organism in Eukaryota, Metazoa, Chordata, Mammalia, Carnivora, Felidae.